CCAUGCAAAGUCGAACGGCAGCACGAGAGAGCUUGCUCUCUUGGUGGCGAGUGGCGGACGGGUGAGUAAUAUAUCGGAACGUGCCCAGUAGCGGGGGAUAACUACUCGAAAGAGUGGCUAAUACCGCAUACGCCCUACGGGGGAAAGGGGGGGAUCGCAAGACCUCUCACUAUUGGAGCGGCCGAUAUCGGAUUAGCUAGUUGGUGGGGUAAAGGCUCACCAAGGCAACGAUCCGUAGCUGGUUUGAGAGGACGACCAGCCACACUGGGACUGAGACACGGCCCAGACUCCUACGGGAGGCAGCAGUGGGGAAUUUUGGACAAUGGGGGAAACCCUGAUCCAGCCAUCCCGCGUGUAUGAUGAAGGCCUUCGGGUUGUAAAGUACUUUUGGCAGAGAAGAAAAGGCAUCCCCUAAUACGGGAUGCUGCUGACGGUAUCUGCAGAAUAAGCACCGGCUAACUACGUGCCAGCAGCCGCGGUAAUACGUAGGGUGCAAGCGUUAAUCGGAAUUACUGGGCGUAAAGCGUGUGUAGGCGGUUCGGAAAGAAAGAUGUGAAAUCCCAGGGCUCAACCUUGGAACUGCAUUUUUAACUGCCGAGCUAGAGUAUGUCAGAGGGGGGUAGAAUUCCACGUGUAGCAGUGAAAUGCGUAGAUAUGUGGAGGAAUACCGAUGGCGAAGGCAGCCCCCUGGGAUAAUACUGACGCUCAGACACGAAAGCGUGGGGAGCAAACAGGAUUAGAUACCCUGGUAGUCCACGCCCUAAACGAUGUCAACUAGCUGUUGGGGCCGUUAGGCCUUAGUAGCGCAGCUAACGCGUGAAGUUGACCGCCUGGGGAGUACGGUCGCAAGAUUAAAACUCAAAGAUGACGGGGACCCGCCACAGCGGUGAUGAAUGUGCAUAAUCGAUGGCAACCGCGGAAAAACCUUACCCUACCCCUUGGACAAGUGCUCGUUG
RNAcentral lists this ribosomal RNA (956 nucleotides) under Alcaligenes faecalis. RNAcentral's name for it is "bacterial SSU rRNA". It matches the Rfam family "Bacterial small subunit ribosomal RNA", at positions 53 to 1003 of the family's 1533-position model. The record is from RNAcentral. Lineage: Bacteria; Pseudomonadati; Pseudomonadota; Betaproteobacteria; Burkholderiales; Alcaligenaceae.